This 451-nucleotide ribosomal RNA is filed under the name uncultured bacterium. RNAcentral's name for it is "partial 16S ribosomal RNA". It matches the Rfam family "Bacterial small subunit ribosomal RNA", at positions 29 to 523 of the family's 1533-position model. The record is from RNAcentral.
AGCGAACGCUGGCGGCAGGCCUAACACAUGCAAGUCGAGCGGCCGUAGCAAUACGGCAGCGGCAGACGGGAGAGUAACACGUGGGAACGCGCCCUUCGGUUCGGGAUAACUCAGGGAAACUUGGGCUAAUACCGGAUACGCCCUUACGGGGAAAGAUUUAUUGCCGAAGGAACGGCCCGCGUCCGAUUAGCUAGUUGGUGAGGUAACGGCUCACCAAGGCGACGAUCGGUAGCUGGUCUGAGAGGAUGACCAGACUCACUGGGACUGAGACACGGCCCAGACUCGUACGGGAGGCAGCAGUGGGGAAUAUUGGACAAUGGGCGCAAGCCUGAUCCAGCCAUGCCGGGUGGGUGAUGAAGGCCCUAGGGCUGUAAAGCCCUUUCAGCGGGGAAGAUAAUGACGGUACCCGCAGAAGAAGCCCCGGCUAACUUCGUGCCAGCCGCCGCAGUAA